This 338-nucleotide ribosomal RNA is filed under the name Salmonella enterica subsp. enterica serovar Kentucky. Its description in RNAcentral is "partial 23S ribosomal RNA". It matches the Rfam family "Bacterial large subunit ribosomal RNA", at positions 1419 to 1757 of the family's 2925-position model. Lineage: Bacteria; Pseudomonadati; Pseudomonadota; Gammaproteobacteria; Enterobacterales; Enterobacteriaceae. The record is from RNAcentral.
UGGGAAACGGGUUAAUAUUCCCGUACUUGGUGUUACUGCGAAGGGGGGACGGAGAAGGCUAUGUUGGCCGGGCGACGGUUGUCCCGGUUUAAGCGUGUAGGUGUGUGUUCCAGGUAAAUCCGGUUCACUUUAACACUGAGGCGUGAUGACGAGGCACUACGGUGCUGAAGCAACAAAUGCCCUGCUUCCAGGAAAAGCCUCUAAGCAUCAGGUAACAUCAAAUCGUACCCCAAACCGACACAGGUGGUCAGGUAGAGAAUACCAAGGCGCUUGAGAGAACUCGGGUGAAGGAACUAGGCAAAAUGGUGCCGUAACUUCGGGAGAAGGCACGCUGACAC